Molecule: ribosomal RNA, 373 nt
Filed under: uncultured bacterium
Lineage: Bacteria
Description: bacterial SSU rRNA
Rfam family: Bacterial small subunit ribosomal RNA
Source: RNAcentral
UAAUACAGAGGGUGCGAGCGUUAAUCGGAAUUACUGGGCGUAAAGCGCACGUAGUCGGCUUUGCAAGUCGGUUGUGAAAUCCCCGGGCUCAACCUGGGAACUGCAUCCGAGACUGCAUUGCUAGAGUAUGGGAGAGGAAAGCGGAAUUUCUGGUGUAGCAGUGAAAUGCGUAGAUAUCAGAAGGAACAUCAGUGGCGAAGGCGGCUUUCUGGACCAAUACUGACGAUCAGGUGCGAAAGCGUGGGGAGCAAACAGGAUUAGAUACCCUGGUAGUCCACGCCCUAAACGAUGGGAACUAAGUGUCGGCGGGUUACCGCCGGUGCCGCACCUAACGGAGUAAGUUCCCCGCCUGGGGAGUACGGCCGCAAGGUUG